UGUCCUUUCAUCCUAUAGUUUGUCACUGUUCCCUCUGAGUGUAAUUCUUCUAGCUGCUCAGGUGAUAGCAACAGUAUUUAAGAGUUACCAAUGACCUCUGUUCUUAUAGUGAUACGUAUCAUUUUAACUUAUUGAGUCUCUUAAAAAUUUUUUGUUGUUGUUUUGUUUGUUUUUCCCCCUCUUUUUUAUUUACAUUUUGAUGAUUCUCUUGUGUUUUGUGGUUGGACUUUUUGGUCUUUUAUUUAUGAAUGCUUGGAACUCUUCUGUUGUGUUGAAUGACCAUACUUUUCCCUGUAAGAAUAUAGUCAGUUUUGAUGGGUAUUUUAUUCUUGGUUGUAGACGUAGUUCCCUUGCUUUCUGGAAUAUAGUAUUCCAUGCCUUUUGGUCUUUCAGUGUGGAUGCAGCCAGAUCCUGUAUUAACCUCACCGUGUUUCCAUGGUAUCUGAAUGGCUUCUUCUUGGAAGCUGGUAAUAUCUUUUCUUUCAUCUGAUUGUUUUUGAAUUUGGCUAUAACAUUUCUUGGUGUUGUCAGUUGGGGAUUAAAUACAGGGGGUGAUUUGUGGAUUCUUUCAAUCUCUACUUUCCCCUCUUGUUCUAGGAUCUCGGGACAGUUUUCCUGGAUAAUAUCCUCUAGUAUUAUGAAUGGGCUUUUUUUUUUUGUCGUGGUCUUCUGGUAGUCCAAGUAUUCUUAUAUUGUCUUUUCUUGAAUGAUUUUCUAAAUUGUCUGUUUUGUGAAUGAGAUGCUUCACAUUUUCAUCACUUUUUUCAUUCUUUUUGUUUUGUUUUAUUGUGUCCUGCUGCCUUGUGAGGUUACUUGAUUCUAGUUGUUUUAUUCUAGUUCUUAAAGAUUGGAUUUCAUCUCUGGGUUUUUGGUCGUCUUUUUCCUUCUGGUUUGAUUUUCUUUGAAGAUCGUCUUUCAUCCUCUAUACCUUGUCUUUCAUCUCCUUUGCCUCAUCUUUCAUCUCCUUUGCCUCAUUUUCCAGCUGGUUGAUUUUGGCUUUCAAGACACUAUUUUCUCGUUUUAGUUCAAGUGCCUCUGUUUCCAGAUGACUUAUCUUAAUUUUUAAGUUCUUUUCCCAAUUGUCUUCAGGCUCUCUUAGUUGUGUUUUGAGUUCUUCCACAGCCUGUAUCCAAUUCGCUGGGAUUUCUGAUUUAUUGUUUGCUGAUCUCACACCCUCUGUUCCAUUUGCUGAGUAAUAGCUGUCUAUUGUAGUUUCUUUCUUCUUUUUCUGUUGUUUCCUCCAAUUCACCCCUUCUUUACUCCCCGUAUUUGUCUGUGCUCUUGGUCCUCUCAUUUUUUUGCUUUUUGGGGAGUUCUAUCAGUCUCCCCUCUUGGAGCUUUAACAGAAGAUCUCUUGGUGUAGUCUCUGUGGGAGGGUUGUUUGGGGUUUGAGCUUCCCUGUCCUCUGGAGGCUUUUGAUUCGCUUAAAGUCCAGCGGUCAAUGGGGAUGGGUGGGGAGCUUGGGCUUCCCUGCUUUCUGGAGACUUUUGAUGGGAUUGAGUUCAGCUUAGUUGGGCUGGGUUUACUCUGAGUUUUAAACUUCCUGGAAGGCUGGGACAAAUAUGGAGGAUCUCCAAAGCUCUGGCCAGGCUGCCAGGUCUAUGCUCCUUCUAGGCUGCCAUCUUGACUUCACCUCUAGGUUUCUGUUUUUUCAGAAGACCCUGCUCUCUAAGGGGGGAGGGGUCGUGGCCUCCCUGGGCUCUGAGGGCUCCUGAUGGGAUUAGGUUCAGCUGGUUUGUACUGGAUGAGCCCUGAAGCAAAAAACCUCCUCCUCCUCAAUCUGUGUUGAAUGCCCAGGGACUGGCCAGGUUGCUUUCAAGUGGAUCAUGGCCAGGUAUGAAGAGGAAAUGGAUCUCAUUUUUGGAACUCAAGAAACUGAGUCUCCAAGCCAUAAAGAAAUAGGUUUAUUCAGAGAGUCUCACAAUAAAUUCAGACUUCUUGUCAAGACCAAAAGACCUAAAGAACUGUGAGAGACCUUCCUAUAUACCCUCAAAGAAUAUCAUAAUUUUUAUACCAAGUUAAAAAUAAUACAAGACCAUGUUAAAAUAGAGAGAUGUGGAUUGAUUGAAGUAAUAGGGAAACAUUUCUCUCAUUGGUAGAAGUCUCUUGAUAAACAAGAGGAGAGUAGGGGAGCCUGAACCCUGCUUUCUAAGCCUGAUGAUGUCAAGGUUGAUGUAUACUAAGAUGACUAGGAUAAGGAGGAGGUAUCAGGCCUUAAAAAAGGGUAAAAGCCUGAUGAUGUAUAAGGAAUGAAUACAAAGGUGAAAGGGUGUCACCAGGGUUCUAACUGAGGCAAAAGCCCAUAUGCUAAUGAAGGCCAAGUCACAAGUUCAAGACAAUCAUUGCUGAGGGUUUAUGAUAUAAUAGUUUUGAAGGGUAAGGCUAGAACUGAGGCCUAUGCUAACAAUGAUUAAUUAUAUUCAAGCGGUUAUCUUACUUUAAAACUUAAUCUAAAAUAAUCACAAAAGACCUACUAAGAUCAUCAACUGUGCUAAUAUUUAAUUAUCUUAGAAUUACAGUUAUCACUAACUCACAGCUGCUGCCAACAUUAAAAUCUAAUCCUCAUAUGAGGGGGUAGGGGAUUUUUCCCCUCACACUCUCCAAUAUAAUUAAGCUCCUUGAGAUGAUAUUUUUUUUUCUUUGUGCCAUGACUGGUACUUAAAAAUUGUAUACUGGUGGCUUAAUUGUUAAAUUUAAAAUUCAAUUGUUCCAAACCAAAAAAGCCUUCUCUGACGAAAGUGUUCUCUCCUUCCUCAAAUUUUCUGAGUUUUCUUCUCUUUUGCUAGAUUUAGAACCAGAGGAUUUUGGUAAUAUAUAUAGCUAUGUGACCUUUGUAACACUUGGUAUACUUUUUACCAUUACUAGGUUUGACAUAUAUCAGCUGUGAAAUGAGAAAGUUGGACUAGGUGACCUGAAAAGUCCCUUUAGCUCUAAAAUCUGAGUUGACUUUGUCCAAUACUUAUUAGUGUGUAGAUUGUAUAUAUCCCAUAUACCAAAGUCAACUGCCUUAAGAAAAGAUAUGUGUCAUUCAUCAUUUCAUAUCCCCAUUUCACUAUAAGUUUCCUCAUUCAAUAGUUCACAACUAUAGAAUUAAGUUUAAUGGAAUGCAUUUAGUAACAAUCAUUUUGCUCAUUAAUAAAUUUACAUGAGUUUAUAAAAACAAAGGGAAAAUUAUGACUUCUGAAGAGGUUGACACAUAUUAUAUCUCUUCCCUAAACAAAUCUCAACCCCUUUAAGUGAAAUAUAAAUAUAAUGAAGGCUAUUGAGUACACUUUUGACUGGUUUCACUAAAAAUGAGAUCAGUAUUAAAUAACAGUUCAUAGUUUUGUUUUGAAGUGCUCUUACAUCUAUUAUCUCUAUUUAUUCUCAGGGUUCUAUAAUUACAACCAAAUGUUAUAGUAAUAUACACAUUUACAAUCCUCCUAUCCCAUCACUCAAGAACCAAAAUGAUUUCCAUAAAUAUUGCAAGUCAAUUUUAGAAAAAAUCAAAACAUUUGAUAUUUUAUCAUUGUUCUCUCACUUCUAUUUCAUUAAAGAUGCCAGAAGAAAAUUUAGAAGGGGAUAUAUAACCAGGGUAGAUGACUAUUAAUAUUCUUUUAGAUGUCAUUGAAUUUAAA
Non-coding RNA from Monodelphis domestica (gray short-tailed opossum), 3617 nucleotides. NCBI's taxonomy places the organism in Eukaryota, Metazoa, Chordata, Mammalia, Didelphimorphia, Didelphidae. The record is from RefSeq and is a predicted model, not a curated record.